UGAUGGCGAUUGGAUCAAGAGUUGAUCAAGGGUCGAAUCAAGGAGGCUUGGAACCAAUUCAAGAGUUGAAGACCAGUUGAUCGAUUGACGUGCAUGUGCUUGUAAUAUGACCUAAUUAGAAUCCAUGAUCAUCACUUAUUUAAAGUUUAGCUUUACUUAAUGUUGCGAUUAUAAUUGCCUGCAAUGUGCCGUUUGCAUGUGAUGUGAAUGAGAAUCGGGUAGAUAGGUUUACAUGUGAUGUAGCAAACCCAA
This 252-nucleotide long non-coding RNA is filed under the name Phoenix dactylifera (date palm). Its description in RNAcentral is "long non-coding RNA (PDAC_LNC009862)". The record is from RNAcentral. Lineage: Eukaryota; Viridiplantae; Streptophyta; Magnoliopsida; Arecales; Arecaceae.